AUAUGCGAUUGGGUCGGUUAGGUCACGAUGGCUCUCCGCGUCCUCUGUUCCCGUCCUUCCUCCCUGAUCUACCACCGCUUCUUGUGGACGAUCGAUCGUCUUCUAAUUAAGAAUAUUAGGGUUCGUAAGCAGGUAGCCACCGCUGCAUAGGGGAGGAGGAUUUGAUUUCUUCUUUUCCCGAUCAAUGGGGUUACUCUUUAUGUUUCCUAUGCAUGGCACCCUCCAACGGGAUGGCGUGGUAGCUCGGAUGGCCUGCUUCUCUGCAGGCAACCGCUGCCGCCAUUCUCUUUCGGAGAGGCGCAAGUAAGGAGGACAUCGACAAAUUGAAGAAUGAUUUGAUAGGGACCCUUUGCGUGGAAUUUGUGAUCUUCGUUUGAGGCGGCUCGGAGCCUCUUCCUCUGGUAUCUCUCUUCCAAGAAACGAAUCUGUUCGUUCAUGCUUGUGCGUUGUUUCCUGAAAUUUCUAAGCAGGAUGAUUGAUUGCCUUAGUUCGGAAAAGAAGUUUCGUAUGUAGCGGUCGGUGAUUGAGAUUUAAUUUGCCCUUUUUUUUUUCCGCCUUGACGUGCGAGCGAAAAAAAAUUUCUUGGAUCUGAAAAUUCCAUCGACUACGCUUUUCGGCUUGAUCCUCACCCUCCGUCGACGAACUUUCCGGAGGAACCUUUAGGUUUUCGGGGCAUUCGAUUCUCACCAAUAUUUUUUGGGUGGCUCGUUUAUGUCAAUUGCCUAUUAAUAUUUCAAACUUAUACUUCUAAGACCAAUUCUCUCAAAUCUUUUUCUUUUUUUGGUGUAAACGGAAAGUGGUGAAUACAUGAUAUGAUUCCAGGACCUUUCAAUAUAAACAGAUAAAGUCUUUACAUUCUAAGUUGGCCAACACUUUUGUAUACAUUAAAAGAAUUGCGGUGAUCAACUCACCUCACGUCAUUACCUUCCUGUGAAGGGGGUCGAAUACAGAAUUUCCAUUCUCAGAUUUCAAAGCCUGUAAGUUUCAGGUUUUGAAAUCCCACGUGGCAAUCUCCAGAUUUCACCACUGUGCCCUUCAAAUGGUGGCAUGAUAUCUUGUAUAUUAUGCUUCUCCACAUGCAAGUGCUGCCACCAUUCCUCAAAGAGAGACAUGUUUAGAGGAGGUAAAAAAAGGAAGGAAUUCUGGUCUCUCCUUGUUAUAGUGCUGGCAGUGCUGGCGGAUCUGAGAUUCUCCUUAUGGUAUCUCUUGCUAUUAAUAGAGACCAAUCCUUCUGUUCAUGUUUGUAUAUUUUUUUCUCAAGUUUAUAAGUAGUGAAAUAAUUUAGAUGUGUCAUUUUUCAUCUUCUUCUCAUUUUCUUAAUCUGUGGUGAAUUGAGAUUCUGAUUGCUCAUUUUUUGUUUUUUUUAAUUGUUUGUAUUCCAGGAUUUUUUGAGGUUCAGAAUUUCACAAAAUGGGAAUCACUUUUUUGUCCUUUCAGAAAGAUUGAUAGGUUUUUUUCUUGUUUGUCAACUGCCCAUUACUUUUUAACUUACCUUUGUAUCUGAGCAAUUGACAAGUCAGUUGACUAAUAUAAGUUUAAUGGUAUCUAGGAGCAGUUGUCGGAAAGGUCAGGUGCUCAUCAACACAAAUUUCUUAUAAAAGGUUUUGCUUGUAUCCUUGCAAGAUAACUGCUUUUUUUGUAUCAAUUGCCAUAUCUCUUCUAGUGAAGUGAGGCAUACAUUCAUGCAAUUUCCCCACAAAGGGGUUGUUUUUUCAUUUCAUAAGGGUUUAUUUAGGCUUUAUGUAAAUUGCCUUUCUUAUUUCGAGCUAGCAUGCUCUCUAUUUUCUACAAACUCAAUUCUCCCACCAAUUAUCAGAUACUACCGUCCAUCUAUUUUUACUCUUAUGCAUGCGUGUGAAAAAGGUGUGACGGUCAAUUGUGAGGUUUUUAUGUGUGCAUUGCUUUAGUCACCCACGAAUGAAAUUCCAAAAAAUCACCCUAGAAAGCAGAAUAAGGCAAAAAUCAAUGACAUUGGCACCAUUCAUGAUUGGUAAACCAUUGAUGAUAUUGGCGGUUAAACCAUCUAGGUUUCUUUUGAGCUUGUCUUGUGGGUGUAGAAGGCAUUCUCAUUAUAAAUAUCUGUCAAGUUGGAAGGAAGGAGCCUUCAUCUUAUUGUCUCUUUCAUGGCAUUUAUUUUUACAAUUAUGGCAUGUAGCUAGGUGGCCUGGUUUUUCCCAGGCAACUGUUGCUGCUAUUCUUUAUCUUCUACGUUGAGGCACAGUAAGUAGAUUCCAAAAGGAUGGAUGUGACUUUUCUAUCCCUGAUUGAUUGAAGGCAGAUCUGAGCCCUUAUAUGAUAUCUUUCUUUAUUUAAGAUGAUUCAUGUUUAGAUAAAAUUUCCAGUUUGUAGAGCUAAAUUGUUUACAAUUUAAUAAAUUCCAUCUUGCUUUUCUGUAUGGUGAUUGCAUUUUGAUUUUCUAUAUUCUGUUCUUUUAUUGCAUGUAUUUUAGAUUUUUUUUGUAUUGUAGCUGAAUUUUAAUGUUGCUAUAUGUUUAUUUACCUGUUCAUGGCUUUUGGUUUCCUUCUUUAUGUUUGAAAAUCUGUACAAUUGAUUUGCCAAAAUAAUAAGUUCGAGCAGUGAAGUUUGCAUUUAGUGAGUAGUUCACUAAAACUAUGACAAAUUUAUGAGGAUUGUUUGUGUGCAUAAAAGAAUGAAUGUGAGCAUGGCCAAUGAGACCAGCGAUGGAUGGAAUAAUGUAUUACAUCCCAAUGAUUUCUCCAGAAACAUCCUCUUAUGCAUCUCCUUGACAAACCUAAUGUUUGCGUCCGGCUGAAAAUUACCAUAGAAAAUUGCUUUAGACAUCAAUACAAGAAAACUCCAAAAGGAAAUCCUGGUCAGUUUUAAAAAAAAUAAAGGGGAACUCUGCUGUUAUGUUAUGUAUGAGAUUGAUGUGAUUGACAAUUACGACCAUAUGUAUUUUCUUCCCUGGACUUCUUUUGUGGGUGAAAAAAGCAAUUGUCAUUGCAAUCUUUUAUGCUAACCAGGUGCCACUUUUGUGUUCCUUUGUGGGUGACUGAAUCACUCCUUGAAAGCGGUCAGUUAUCCUUUUGGGUUUAUAUGCUCUGAUUUAGUUUAUUAUCGGAAUCUUUCAAGUUUCCCAUUUAACAUUGAAUGUCCAUCUGCCACACAAAGUGAAUGGACCCUUCCAGGUGUCCUCUUCUAUACGGAGGCUAUGAUGAUUUAUCUGAAUGCGAGGCCAUAUUUGUAUAUCAGAUUUUGUAAGAAACAACCACUAUUGGCUCCUCUUUUUGUUUAAUCUUUAAGAUGGCAUGGUAGCUCAGAGGGCCUGCUACUUAGGCAAGGGCUGCAGCUUUUCUUAAGAGAGACAGGGAGGGGACAAAGUAAGGAAGGUUUCUCUAUAUCUGAUCGAUUGAAGAAAAUCUGAGCCUCUCUUAGUGCUGUCUCUGCAAUCCCUUGGUAUUGAGGCUGGUAAGGCAGAAGUGGCAGGGAAGAUACUGCUCAUUUAUCUCAUUAGUUUAAGUAUGAGGCUGUCGAGGAAGCCGAUGAUUCUUUUUAUCUUGUGCAUUUAGAGGCUGUGAUGAUUGGCCCUCACAGUGGAAUGUGGGGGUUCAUUAAUAUCAUAUAGAUGGAAGAAACAAUCCUGCCUCUGAAUGGCUUCUCUGUUGCAUUUGUUUAUAUGAAACAAAGGCAUGGCAGCUUGGACGGCCUGCUUCUCUGCAGGCAACCGCAACCGCCUUUUGUUAAUAGAGGCAUGGUGAGGACAUUCUAGGAGGAGGAUGUAUAUGUCUCUCCACUGAUGUGUUGAAGUCCGAUCUGAGCCUUCCUUUGCAGGAAACAAUUGUGGCCUCUUAUGAAUGCCAACGAGAUCUCUGAUAAGUGAAAGACCUGGUGGCCUCUCCCGCCCAACACUUAGAACUUUCCUCUUUUGAGUAUCACAGUGUUAAUGUCAGCUUCAUAUAAAUUUGUGUAUCUCCAUGUCCUUCAGCAGUAGCUUGAAGAUUUUUCUUUCAGACAAGUCUCAGUUCUCUGAUUAUCAAGAGGUUCUUAUUUCAGUUGCUUUCAAGGUCACCGAAGCCAACUGAGUUUAUGUUACGAUUGGUGACACUCUUCUGUGGGGUUGCUUGAAAUUACAUCUCGUCCUGCAUUUCUUUAUCUAAAUUAGUUGAGACAGCUACAUCUGCUGAGGAUGGAUGCGGGCCACUUGUGAUGUUUAUUCUUUCAAGAGACUUAGCGGUGCAUUUUUCAUCUUUGAUCUUGCUGAGAGAUCUAAAUUAAGAAACAAUUUUAGUAGAAGUGGCAUAAGUGAUGCUGCCAAAAAUCAGAUAUAAGUUUGCUGAUCUGAUUGGUAAAUGGUUCUUACCAUCAACCAUCUUAACUACAUCUUGGAAAGAGAUUCGAUCUACUCAAAGAUCAGAUACAAAGGCCUUUACUCUUUAUCUGGCAGGGAUUGGCUCACGCGAACUUUUAGUCAAAAAGGUGUUCUGUAAAUCAACCCUUUUUUAUUGCCAGGCUAUUUUUCGCCUUCUGUUUCCAUUAGCGAAACGUGGUAUCAAGUUGCAGCUUGUGCUCUAGCUAGGAACAAUUGUCUGGAUUGGAAGGAAUUGUGUGCUAAUACACCAAUAUUCUGCCGAAUUGUUUUGAUCGAAUUAAAAAGGUAAUUUAUUUUGUCUUAGCCUCUUGA
Molecule: long non-coding RNA, 4642 nt
Organism: Musa acuminata AAA Group (dessert banana)
Lineage: Eukaryota; Viridiplantae; Streptophyta; Magnoliopsida; Zingiberales; Musaceae
Exons: 3
Source: RefSeq, a predicted model, not a curated record